GGGGUUGUGGCUCAGUGGUAGAGCACUCACUUAGCAUGUGAGAGGCCUUGGGUUUGAUCCUAGGCACCACCU
RNAcentral lists this transfer RNA (72 nucleotides) under Marmota marmota marmota (Alpine marmot). It matches the Rfam family "tRNA". From Rfam's summary of the family: Transfer RNA (tRNA) molecules are approximately 80 nucleotides in length. The record is from Rfam by way of RNAcentral. Lineage: Eukaryota; Metazoa; Chordata; Mammalia; Rodentia; Sciuridae. RNAcentral also lists the same sequence under 1 other name.